This 253-nucleotide ribosomal RNA is filed under the name uncultured bacterium. Its description in RNAcentral is "partial 16S ribosomal RNA". It matches the Rfam family "Bacterial small subunit ribosomal RNA", at positions 524 to 776 of the family's 1533-position model. The record is from RNAcentral.
UACGAAGGGGGCGAGCGUUGUUCGGAAUUACUGGGCGUAAAGGGCGCGUAGGCGGCCCCUUUUGUCGCGUGUGAAAGCCCCGGGCUCAACCUGGGAGGUGCGCGCGAAACGGGGGGGCUUGAGUUCGGGAGAGGAGCGUGGAAUUCCCAGUGUAGAGGUGAAAUUCGUAGAUAUUGGGAAGAACACCGGUGGCGAAGGCGGCUCACUGGCUCAUUACUGACGCUCAGGCGCGAUAGCGUGGGGAUCAAACAGG